GAUGAACGCUGGCGGCGUGCCUAACACAUGCAAGUCGAACGCUCGCAAGAGAGUGGCGCACGGGUGAGUAACACGUAGCUAAUCUGCCCUCAAGACAAGGAUAACUGUAGGAAACUACUGCUAAUACUUGAUAAGCUUACGGACUGUAGAGGUCUAUAAGAAAGAUUUAUCGCUUGAGGAUGAGGCUGCGCGCCAUCAGCUAGUUGGUAAGGUAAUGGCUUACCAAAGCGACGACGGCUAGGGGACCUGAGAGGGUGACCCCCCACACUGGGACUGAGACACGGCCCAGACUCCUACGGGAGGCAGCAGUGUGGAAUAUUGGACAAUGGGCGAAAGCCUGAUCCAGCAAUGCCGCGUGAGUGAUGAAGGCCUUAGGGUUGUAAAGCUCUUUUACCCGGGAUGAUAAUGACAGUACCGGGAGAAUAAGCCCCGGCUAACUCCGUGCCAGCAGCC
This 453-nucleotide ribosomal RNA is filed under the name uncultured bacterium. RNAcentral describes it as "bacterial SSU rRNA". It matches the Rfam family "Bacterial small subunit ribosomal RNA", at positions 28 to 516 of the family's 1533-position model. The record is from RNAcentral.